Molecule: long non-coding RNA, 222 nt
Organism: Dermochelys coriacea (leatherback sea turtle)
Lineage: Eukaryota; Metazoa; Chordata; Testudines; Dermochelyidae
Exons: 2
Source: RefSeq, a predicted model, not a curated record
UUCAGAGUAGCAGCCGUGUUAGUCUGUAUUCGCAAAAAGAGGGGGAGUGCUUGUGGCACCUUAGAGACUAACAGGUUUGUUGGAGCGUGGGCUUUCGUGGGCUACAGCUCACUUCAUCGGAUGCACCGAUGGGGUGGGCUGUGGCUCGCGAAGGCUUGUGCUCUGGUGGAUUUGUUGGUCUCUGGGUGCCACAAGUACUCCUUUUCUUUUUGCGAAUACAGA